UUUUUUUUUUUUUUUUGUAGUUGAGGAUUUAAAGAAAAGCAGCAAAUGUUCGGUAACAAUAUUUAUUGAAAUUACAAAGCAACAAGUGAAAAUGUAGAAGAGAACACACAAAAAAAUGAAACAGGAUGAUACAUAUAGAUUACAUAAUUGGGAUAUGUGAGGAAAGGAUUGUUGAAUUUAGGGUUGAUGGAGACUAGAUAAGGAAGAUGAAGCUGGAGGGAUUCCAGGGAUAAGAGGGACCGGAGGGAGCGGAAUAGGGAGAGAAGGUGGCGGCAUAGGUAGCGAAGGCGGAUUUACGACUGGAACAGGAGGAAGAACCGGAAGAGGUGGAAGAGGUGGAAGAGUUGGAAUUGUUGGAACCGGUGGGAGAGUUGGUGUUGCCGGGGGAGAAGGAAGUAGCGGAAUCGGUGGUAGAGUUGGUGUUGCUGGAGGAGAGGGAAGUAGGGGAAUUGGAGGGAGAGUUGGGGGAGACGGGAUCAACGGGUUUGGAGGAAGAGUUGGGGUUGGGAUAGAAGGGAUCAGAGGGUUUGGAGGGAUGACGGAUGGCGGGUUUAGCGGGUUUGGAGGAAGGAAGAAGAAAUCGGGUUUUAGCACUUCGGUUUUCUUGUCUUCCAAGGAACCAUAUUUCUUGUUAUGCAAGGAAGCUGAUUUCCGUGAUCCUGAUGUUCCUGGAGGAAGAAGAGGAGGAAUUGUAGGAAGAGGCAAGUCCGGAAGCGGAGGUACGAUUGGGAGAUUUGGGAUAGCGGAAGGAGUAGGCGGAUCUUGGAUCGGUGGAGGGAAUGAGGGAUCCGGUAAAAGAGGCUUGGUGGUUUGGCCGAGGUUGACUUGUUUUUGGCUACAAAUCUCUGGUUGGUUUUCGGGUUUGAAAGUGAAGAAUCCUGCGGAGAAGACCCUAGUGUUCUCUCCAUGGUGGUUUGAUCUAAGGCGUUUGAAAGAAGAAGAUGUCGCCGAAGAAGCUAUGGAACAGUAAGGCUGUGAGCUACUUAGCAACUUCACAGAGCAUCUCUUGAUCUUCUUCACAUGUUUGCUCACAGAGAAAGGUAGCUUCACUUUGAAUUCACCGCGCGCAUCUGUUUUCACUUCUUGUCUGAAACUCGGUUUCGAGUUCUCGUCAAUGCAUUCCACUGCAACUAAAGCACCUGCAACAAGAUCCAGACAACUGUUCAUAAUUCGUUCUAAGAUUCUAGACCCACAAACAAGAAAGCUCAUGUAUUGAUCCACUUAAACGAUAUUAACCAGGUUUUGUACUAAUCUAAUAAUCGGCAUAAACCAGACUUUAACCUGUCGUAAUCUUGAACCAUAACUGCUCAAACUAAAUCAUGUUUUGGUAAAACAGAGAGCUCUGUUCUAGAUUCCAAGAACCAAAUAUAUUUGGAUAAAAAACGAGCAAGAAAAAACGAAAAGCAGACCUGGGAUUAAGUGGUUGGGUGACUUUGAAAAGGCGCCGUUAAAACAAGUGUCACAGUAGACAGUUCCGACUACAACUGCAGAAGAACGUGUCUUCUUCACAACAUGUUGUUGUCUUUGAGACAAACCUCCAGUACUAAAGAUGCCUAGGAAAAACAUAAGACUAAACCAAACCCAUAAGGUGGUUGUUCUCUCCAUAGCUAACUAUCGACUCUCUGAGUGUGCGUGUCUUAUGAAAAAGAGGGUUAUCGAGGAAAGAGGGAUAUAUAUAGGAUUGUUGGUGUGAAGAUGAGUGAGCCACGAAAAACGAAGAGAUUGUAAAAGAAAGCUUAUCUCUUUCUAUUUUUUUGUUCUAUGUUAAUGUGAAUCAUGGGAAAAAUACAAACUCUAACUACAAAAGCUAGCUACUAUAUUGUCUUGUGACUCUAUCCUUCUACAGCUCAGAUGCUGAAUUAUUGUAAAAAAUAGUAAGAGGUGAGAAAAAAGACAACAAUUAUAAUUUUGGAUUCACGUAGACGUGUCCAUUAAAUAGUAUUGAUCGUUACACGGUAAAAACACGUUCGAAUUAUAAAAAAAAAAAAAAAAAAACCAAAGCAAAAUCUGUUAUCAUUGUUUCUUGAAUUGCGGGGUUGCUAAAACUACUAUUCUCUUGAUAUCUUUCCUCCUUUAACAUAUGAACUGUAGAUAUGAAGUUAUGUUUCAUGCUAAAGGUUGAAGAACACAUUUGAGAUAUUUUGAGUUCGAAAAUAUGUUUUUUUCUUCAUCUUUCCCUUAUGUACAUUUUGGAUUUUUGAAUGAGCUAAAACAUGACUUAAUUUUUCAUUUUCCAAACUUGGAAUCCAUGUGUGUCAUGUUUUGAUGUUUUAUGUAUUGUCUACAUCCAUGUUUUCAAAGAACUGAAAUUUACAAUAAUUAUUUCUAAAAUAUUGUAUAUAUAUUUUAACCAAAACUAAUCUUGGCAACUUAUAUCUACCUUACAAUCUACUAAAGACACUCCAAAACCAAUAAGUACUUUUUUGUUGAACCAUUGGAAUUUUGGAAGAGUAGUAUAUAUAUUCCCACAGAUGAUUUUAAAAAACAAUUGGGUUUAGAUUUGGAGAAACAUAUAAGCCAAUGCGAGUAAAGUUGAUAACUAGACUUAGCAGAGUAAAUAAUUUUUCUGUAACAGAGGAAACAUUACAUGAAAAUUACGAAAGUGAAGGCAUAUGGGAAUGAGAAUGGGGAAGCGAAUACGGUUGGAGAGUCUCUGUCGAUUCACGAGACACUAAGGAUGUCCACACAACCAUAUAUACCCAAUUCUUACUUCUGUCUUCUUGUAUAUCAUAUAUGUAUACAAAAUCAUUAUUGUUGAUAAAGGACAAAGUAAAUAGAUAAUUUGAAGAUGCGAAUGUUUUUUCAUUUUGAUAAAGAAGGAAUUGUGAAUGUUCUUCUUUUUAACCUUUUUCUAUUUUGUUUUUUUCUGUUUAGUUUGUGUUAUAUUAACAGGAUGUCAUAUAUGCUAAAAAGAUCACCCACUCACGAGAAUGAAACAAACUCUCUACUCUUAUUAGAAUUUUGAAACCGACGACAGAAAAAACAACAAACGAAAUAUUAUGCUAACAUUAUAGAUCGACCAAUGGGUAUUUCUUAAAUUUAUCAAAAACAAAUAUACAAAUUUAGAUGACUACAAAGUUUCUAUAGAUACAUACAGUUGACUAUAGGUGCUCAAAAAAAAAAAAAAAAUUGAAUAUCAUCAAUAUGUAUAUUGGCUGAAUUGGGUUUUAAAUUUGGUCUUGCCCAUAUCUUGAUAUAUGGGCUGAUCUGAACAACAAAAGAGCCCACAUACACAUAGGUAAGUUUAGAUGGUUCAUAUUCAUAAGUUCAUAGUAGUAAUAAUAAAUCUAAAAAUAAUUUUGAAAAGAGAAGCAAUAGUUUUGGUUGAUUAUUGAAUAGAGAGACUCUCAAUUCAACUCAACUCAACUCAAGUCUGAAGCCAUUGGUGUCGAGCAACAACGCCCACCCACCUUCACACCAACUUCAUCACACGACUCCUCUUCCUUCCCCCAUCACUUUUUCUUCCUUCUCUCUGAGUGGAUUUAAUAAAAACAAAAUAGAAAGAAGAUUAAAGUACUUGUUCACUUUCCUUGGGAAUCUGCUAAUAAAAAGCAAAUUAAGUUCCUUUCUUUCCUUUUUCUCUCUUAACUGAAAAUUUCGUCGGUUCUUUGUCUCAAUCUCUUUCCUUUUUCCGUCGAGUCCGAUCAAAAAAAAUCGAAAACCCAUUUUGUUCUUCGAUGAAAGGUAUAGCCUUUGCUCCGAUUCGUCUGAUUUUAUUUCUUCUGAAAAAUAUGUUCUUGUGUAAAACAAGCAACUGGAUGAUGGUUUCUGAUCGACUCUGAUCAGAACUAUCACAAAAAUAUUGUUUUUAUUGGUGUCUGGUCAAAUGUCUCUGCCUUGACUCUAUUUUUUUUUUAUUUUUAUUAUAUGGUUUCUCUGUUAUUAUUGCGUUUGUUUGGGGUUUACCUGAAUUAGGAUUCACCUUUGAGUGGGUUAAUUGCUUGCAUUUCACUUUCACCAGUUUUGCCAUAUGGAGCCUUCUGUUUUUUUUUUGACCAAAACACACAAAUUAAUUUUUACUGAGUUUGGUGAAUCGUUUGACUGAUGUCUCUUGCUGGGAAUCUCUCUACAAUUGUUCAAUGCUGAAAAGCUCAUUAGAACAGAUCAUUCUACAGGCGAACUUUGAGGGAGUGAAGUAGAUUGCUGCUGUAGCCUCUCUCAUUUGGCCUCCUAAAAGUUUCAAACCGGGUGUUGUGAUUUUGGUAAAUCUUUGUGAAAUUUUUCAAAGCAAUUUGUUUCCUCUCAAGUUUUAAAGUUAAAGAAUCAUCAUAUUGGAAUUAACAUUUCAAGAAAUCAAGAGAAGAAGGAGAUGGGCUGUGUUUCUUCUUGUUUUCGUGUCGACGACUUUGAGGAUCACCCGAAUCCAACUAGUUCAUGCCCGAGAUGUCUUGUUAAUAGCUUACUUAACCUGGUAAUGUUCUCUUCCCACUGUUUUACUUUUCACCCGCUAGUUAUAUACAAAGCAGAGCUCAUUGAAGCUUUGUGUUUGAUCUCUCUUUGCAGUAUAUCUCGUUGUUCAGAAGAGGCGAAACCCGCUCUCUCCCAUCCUCCUUACAGGCUACUAAUGUAUCUCUAGCUUCAUCUACUUCUUAUGAUAACUUUAUGUCUAAUACAUUCCAUUCUACUCCAAGGCCUCUGCCUUAUGAUGCUGAUCCAAGAUGCUUCCGGUCAAGGCGUGAUUCGCUUGUCUCUAGACGCGAUAAGGGUUCAAGUCAUUCUCAUGAGGAAACUGAGCCCUUGAGAAGUGAUUCUGAUGUGGAUUCUGAGUCUUUCUCAGUGGAAAGAAGCAAAUGGGCUAAUAAGCUUAUUAUCUCUGGUGAAGAUUCCAGAGAAGAGUUCUCUAAAUCCACUCGAAGGAUUCUUAAGUCAAAGACAAUGUCUACUGGUGGUGAUGACGGCCUGUAUAUAACAUCUGAUGAUGAAGAUGUCUGUCCAACGUGUCUUGAAGGUAGUCAUUUUCAUCUCUCUUCUUACUUCUAUCAAUGCCAUUCGAAGGAAGCUUAGUAUCAGCUUUUCUUUUUGGAUCUUUUGUUUCAGAAUAUACAUCAGAGAACCCAAAGAUUGUUACAAACUGUUCUCACCACUUCCACCUCAGUUGCAUUUAUGAAUGGAUGGAGAGAAGUGAAAACUGUCCUGUUUGUGGAAAGGUAACACUUUUUCAUGUUCUUCCAAGCCAUUUUUUGGCAUUCACAUGUUGAUAAAAGAAUAAUCUUUCUCUGCUUUGAAUUCGUCUCAUUUGCAGGUGAUGGAGUUCAACGAAACACCGUAACUUGUUACCAUUGAUCCUGUCUUCUACUGCCUAAACCGAAAGUGAGGAGAUUGACAAGGCAGCAGACAGAUUUGCAAAUUGAUUUGAUCUGUGAAUAUUUUUAAUUUACAAUAUAUGGUAUAUAUGGAAAUGAGGAAUGUCUCUGCACAUUUGGCUAAUGGAGUUCUGAGGAAAACCCUCUUGAGAGAAAACAGCAGCAGCAACAAAACACAUGCACACAGGAGUCUGGCAUGUUUCUCAAGAUGUGCCUAUGGGGCAGUGUUUUGUUUAUGGCUUGAAAUUUUUCACAUCAUUUUGUAUGAACUACAUAACCCUUUUAUUAAUAGCAUAUAUGUGAUGAUUAUUAUUUUGGCAUAGAUGUUUAAUUAUUGUGGGACAAGAAGAGAUCCCAGUGUCACCCAAACUUUUUCUCAUUACAUGACAAUAAACCGGUCUAAUGGUUCAGUGUCAAAACAACUUCCACACAUUUCAAUCCUUAAUAAUAUAAGCAAGAUCCUCUGGACCAUAAUAUAUAGCCACGUACUUAUUAUGUCUACAAAUCAAAGUCUUUUGUCUAUACUUUUUUUUUAUAUAUAUAAAAAGGUUUUUGUUGGUGAGCUUGAUCACAGAAGAUGGCUCUCAAAGCAUCCACCCUGGGAUGUAACCAUUUCCCGGCUGUGCCUGAGCUUGUGUUGUUGUUGCAGUUAUUUGCUCUGAGCAUACUGUAUUGUCAUACCUGUCACCAUAACAUUUUCAAUAAACUUAAAAGGUUCUCAAAGGGUGAUGAUCCUAUAUCGACCAAGCAACUAAAACCUUUAAACUGCAAAGACAAUCUAAGUUGUGAUUUGCAUAUGGUUUUUUCAAGGCAAAGGAUUUACCCGAUUUGUAGAGUUGGAUUGCAUUCAAGAGGCUGGUAUAGUCCCUGAGAUUGAACUUGAUGGUGCGCAUAGGUAACAUUCUGUUCACCCCCAUCCCAUCCUCCCCCUCCUCCUCCCAUAUGAUGAUGAGUUCUCACACCAAUCAUGUCAUCCAGCUAAACAAUUACAUUUCACCAAAUUAAAGACAAUAAUUCAAAUAAGAGAAAUUAAAACUAGAGAUGAUUCCAAAAUGUUUAGAAACUUUAAAACCUGUGAAAGAGAUUGAUAGCAGUCAUCGAAUGCAUUUAAUGUGUAUAUGAGAUUCUAAUAUAAUGCAUACCUUCAUUGCCAAAGCUCUAUUGGUCUCAAGCAGCAUUUGCUCUUUAUUUUGAAGAUCAGAGAGCUGAUCAAGCAUGUACUGUGUCUGCAAACACUCAUGAUCAUACCACCAUAUGUAGAAGUUAUAAUUAAUAAACAGCUAGCGUAUUUUCACACAUUAGUUAAUCUCACUUGAAUCCUUACUUCUACAUAGCUUUAGUUAGCUAACCUUGAUGGACCGAACUUGCUUGAGAGAGCCGUCAAGUUGACGUUCAAGCUGUUCUAGCUCCUUUGAAUUAAGAGGUCCUAAAUCCUCCCCAAGAAGAUUUCUGCACCAAACAAAAGAUCCAUAUCAUAUACAUAUAUCAAUAUGAAUAUGUAAUGUACAUGUAUAAUUAUAUAUAUAAAUGUAGAGAGAGAAAUAGAUAAAUAUAUACCUCUGUUGACGCUGAAGGUUCUCAUAUCUACCCUUAAGCUUCAGAUACUCUCUGUAGCUGUUCUGAAAUUUCAAGAAAAAAACAGACUUUUUAAAAGGAUAUCUUUCUUGCAAUGUUAUGAUAGGAAUCGAAAAAUAUUAUCUGAAUUGAAGAAACACCUCUAGUUCUUUGGCAGGUUUGUUGUUGACUUCAAUAGAGCCAUAGCUGCAUUUCUGGUACCGAUCCAAUGUCUUGAGCAUGCUGAAAGAAAACUCACAAGCAUGAUAAGAAGCUAAUCGAAAAAAUCAUACUUGACUUAGUAGAUAAACCUUACAUGACCAUAAUCAAGAGCUAGCUCUCCAAGUAUAUAUUUUCUUUCAAAACUGAAGAUUAUUUCUACUACGUACUCAUCUAAAGCAUACUUGGGAUUUGUUUAAUUUGUUCCAAGGGUUAAGUUUUGCGUUUGUGUUUACUAAUCAAGAAUAUUAUUUGCAAGCAAUCUCUUAUACAUUUUUCAUUUGAGUUGAUUCACAAAUGCAAAUAAUACUUUUUGUUAAAAUUAAGGAAAUCAAUUUUAUAUCCUCUUGAAUGAAAUUAACUGAACUAAUUAAUCUAACAUAUAAACAUCUAAGCAACAAAAGUUUAAAAAAUAAAUAUUAAAGCCUUCAUAGAUAUACACACGUUUAAAGUUUUAACCACCAUAAAGUAUGAUGAACUAACAAAUGGUUAAUGCAUGGAACCAUAUAUUAUCAUUCUACGUUGGGUACUAAUUAUUUUCAUAGAAAUCUGUGAAUCCAUCUUUUUUUUUUUAAGUUUCCAAUCAGACAGACAUAUAUAUAUAUUAAUUAAUAUAAAACUUUUCAGAUUGCAUAUCUGGAUUUGGAUUUACCUUCAAAUCCAUCUUCAAUUAUACAUAUAUACCUCUUUUUUUUUUAAAUAUCAUAUAACAUAACUUGUAGCAAACUGAAAUCAGUUCUUUAAUAUCAAGAACUCAAGAAACCUAGAAAUUGAAAUCAGAUCUUUAAUAUCAAGAAGUCAAGAAAACCUAGAAACUGAAAUCAAGAAACCUGAUUAAACUCAAGAUCACGACGUUCUAGUAAUCAAGAUCGGGUGAUCUAGAUAUCUAGUCCCAAAACAGGUCCUUGAGACAAAGAUCUAUGCUCAGAUCUAGCAAAACCCCAAUUUAUUUUAUGAAAAAAAAAACUGAAAAAUGAAGAAGAGAGGGAGAGAGCUGAGUGAAUUACUUGGGGGAGCUGCAAAACUCAUAGAGCUUUCCACGGUUGGAGAAGAUGAUGAGAGCAACCUCAGCAUCGCAAAGAACAGACAAUUCAUAAGCUUUCUUCAACAAACCGUUCCUACGCUUUGCAAACGUUACUUGUCUGUUGAUUUUGUUCUCUAUCCUCUUCAGCUCUACUCUUCCUCUUCCCAUUUCUUUUUUCUUUUGUUACCCUUAUUUCCACUUUUAUAUAUGUACGUACACACACACAAAAUAUGGGUAUGUAAUGUUUAUCUAUAUACAGACACACAAAAACCUGAGUUGGGUAUCUCUAUUUCUGAGGAAAGAUCUGAUCUUUUGAGUAUUUAAAGGUCUCUGGAGAAUUUGAUGGAAAGGGGAUAGGAAAGUAACCCUAAUUUCAAGAACAAGGGUACUACUAGCUAGCUUAAGGAAGAAGAAGAAGAAGAAGAAGAAAAAGAGGAAAGAUUAAUUUGCUUUUACUGGUUUUGAUUGUUAGGGUUCUUGAUUUAUAUUAUAUUUGUCUCUCUCUUUUGUGUGUUUGGAAGUGUGUGGAGGUUGUGCAAUCUUAAUGAAAUUUAUUAUUUUUGUAUGAAUGGAAUCUAUUCGAUGAGAGCAAAAGAUAAGAAAUCUGUGAGGGGUGAGGUUAGGGUUUGGUGUGUUUUUCAUUUCUAGCCAUCUCUCUCUAGCUACUACUUCUCCUUCAUUCCCACGCUCUCUCUAAGCACGUGUGCUACACAGUUACCAUUCUACAUUUGUAUUUUAUUUAAGAUUAAUAAAUUUUAUACAGUUCGUAUUACUUUAUAUCUUUCUUACAGAGUUAUAAUAACGUAACUAUUAGCCGGUCAAUAUAUAACAGUGGAUUCGUAAUAUAUUCAUCAACUUAUAUGAAAUAUAUUGGAACGUAUAUAAUUAUCUGUGUGUUUCUCUCCUCAGGUUGAAUAAUGUUUGUGUAUAUAUGGUGUUUACUAUUUUAGGCAUAUAACUGCCUGAUAUUAUGCAAAUGAUUAAAAACAUGUUUAUUUCUUCGAGAUUCUAUGUUUAUAUCAGAAUAGCAAAUUAUUUAUGUUUAGUUGUUGUAUAUAAUGCAACAAUGACGAUCAUUGCUUAUUAAAAUAAAAAAAUCAUGCACGUUUGAUGGUUGACCGGUAACUAAACAUAUGAGGCCCAAAGCUGAUCAUGGUUAACAUGUGCAUAUAUGUAUAUACGGUCUUGAAGCUAUCACAUUUAAAAAGUCAAUUUAACCGAUAUUAAGAAAGUUUGUAGUAUUAUUAUAUACACACACCUCGUACUGGAUGUAAAUGGGUACAUUAAAAUAAAAGUACACUCUUACGUGUGUAUGUAUAUGGGUGAAUACAUAUUUGGGAAAUAACAUAGAUUUUUCAUAUGUACUUAAAAUUUCAUUUUUCAUCGUCAUAGCGUGUUAUUUUGUUACUUAAUAAGCAAUAUAUAUUUUGUUUUCCCAAAAGAAAGAAUGCGCAAUAUAUUUCAACAUAAACCUGCCAUAGAACUUGUUUACACUUGUUGAUUUAGUAAAAAGUAAAUACAAAGUACAAUUUAAUAGACCAAUCUAAGAAAGGUUUUUUUUUUUUUUGAAAAUCUAACUUUGAAAUCGGUAAAGAAAGGUUUUUUUUUUUUUUUUUGUCGACCAUUCGUUUUUAUAACGAAAGCCCAAAAUGGGCAGAGUACAAAAGCAUGAUACAAAGCCUUAUUUAAGCCCAAAUUAAAAUGAACCCACAUACUAUAACAUUGACACGUAACACCAACGUGUAUGAAGCAAAAGCAAGAGGGCCCACUUCUUGUUUCUUCUCAAUUCUUCUCACCGACUUAGAUCUGAGACUGUACUCCGAUUUUUACGCCGACGACGAACGUAGCAACAGAUGAAGGCUUGAAAUCACGCUUCUGGGACCAUCUUUCUACAAAAUUUAACCGCUGCAAGAAUUGGAUCAACCUUAGGAAAUGUCAAACUCAAUCCAAACUCCAAGAAGAAGCUCCGCCUAAAACCUAGAUAAGGUCUUCUUCAAUCCUUAACGAUGAAGAUAUAACGGCGAAUAUAUUACUCUAUCUUUGAAGGAGAAUCAAGUUGAUGGCUAAUCCAAUAAAAACAAACGGGAUUCGAUAUAUUUCUUUGUAGAAAGAGGCAAGAACAAAAAACAUAGAUUUUCUAUCUUAGUCAAUAAACUAAACAAGAUAAACAUUAUUUAAAACUGACUAAGAAGAACAAAAGAUCCGAACCAAGUCGGAAAUCUAUAAAACAAAACUAAAAUUUUCCGGUUAACCGGAAAUCGCCUUCUCUCUCUCUAAAAGAUGAACUGUGUGUUAAGAGAGAGAAGUUCUCUGUAAAGAAAGGUUUUACUUUCACAUAAGGUGAAACAUAAAUGUGCAAGUUGUAGACUUGUAGUGUUGGUAAAAAUAUGAAGCGCGUGAGAUGAUAUGUAUUGUGAAUAUAGCUUGGACUAGGAUAGCAAUUUAAAC
RNAcentral lists this long non-coding RNA (10548 nucleotides) under Capsella rubella. Its description in RNAcentral is "long non-coding RNA (CRUB_LNC001974)". The record is from RNAcentral. Lineage: Eukaryota; Viridiplantae; Streptophyta; Magnoliopsida; Brassicales; Brassicaceae.